GGGAGGCUUAACACAUGCAAGUCGAGGGGUAUAAGUAGCAAUAUUUAGAGACCGGCGCACGGGUGAGUAACGCGUAUGCAACCUGCCCUUUACAGGGGGAUAGCCCGUAGAAAUGCGGAUUAAUACCCCAUAGUACUAUUGGAUSGCAUGGUUUGAUAGUUAAAGUUUCGGCGGUAAAGGAUGGGCAUGCGUGACAUUAGCUAGUUGGUGAGGUAACGGCUCACCAAGGCUACGAUGUCUAGGGGUUCUGAGAGGAAGAUCCCCCACACUGGUACUGAGACACGGACCAGACUCCUACGGGAGGCAGCAGUGAGGAAUAUUGGUCAAUGGGCGGGAGCCUGAACCAGCCAUCCCGCGUGCAGGAAGAAUGCCCUAUGGGUUGUAAACUGCUUUUUCGCAUGAAGAACACUCCGGACGUGUCUGGAGCUGACGGUAAUGCGUGAAUAAGCACCGGCUAACUCCGUGCCAGCAGCCGCGGUAAUACGGAGGGUGCAAGCGUUAUCCGGAUUUAUUGGGUUUAAAGGGUGCGUAGGCGGUAAUAUAAGUCAGUGGUGAAAUCCUGCAGCUCAACUGUAGAACAGCCAUUGAAACUGCAUUACUUGAGUAAUCUUGAGGUAGGCGGAAUGUGUAGUGUAGCGGUGAAAUGCUUAGAUAUUACACAGAACACCGAUUGCGAAGGCAGCUUACUAAGGAUUUACUGACGCUGAUGCACGAAAGCGUGGGGAUCAAACAGGAUUAGAUACCCUGGUAGUCCACGCCGUAAACGAUGAUAACUCGCUGUUGGCGAUACACAGUCAGCGGCUUAGCGAAAG
This 812-nucleotide ribosomal RNA is filed under the name uncultured bacterium. RNAcentral's name for it is "bacterial SSU rRNA". It matches the Rfam family "Bacterial small subunit ribosomal RNA", at positions 41 to 857 of the family's 1533-position model. The record is from RNAcentral.